ACGAACGCUGGCGGCGUGCUUAACACAUGCAAGUCGAACGUGAUUGAGGAGCUUGCUCCUCAUGAAAGUGGCGCACGGGUGAGUAACACGUGGAUAAUCUGCCUUGUGAUUCGGGAUAACACUUCGAAAGGGGUGCUAAUACCGGAUAAGCCCACAGUCUCUUUGGAGGGUGCGGGAAAAGGGGGCCUCUGUAUAUGCUCCUGUCACUAGAUGAGUCCGCGGCCCAUUAGCUAGUUGGUAGGGUAAUGGCCUACCAAGGCGACGAUCGGUAGCUGGUCUGAGAGGAUGGUCAGCCGCAUUGGGACUGAGACACUGCCCAGACUCCUACGGGAGGCUGCAGUCGAGGAUCUUUUGCAAUGCCCGAAAGGGUGACAAUGCGACGCCGCGUGUGCGAUGAAGGUUUUCGGAUCGUAAAGCACUGUCGACCGGGAUGAAUCUCAGGAGGCUUAAUAAGCUUUCAGGGUGACAGUACCGGUAGAGGAAGCCACGGCUAACUCCGUGCCAGCAGCCGCGGUAAUACGGAGGUGGCAAGCGUUACUCGGAUUGAUUGGGUGUAAAGGGUAUGUAGGUGGCGAAUUAAGUCGAACGUGAAAUCCCUUGGCUUAACCAAGGAACUGCGUUCGAAACUGAUUUGCUUGAGCGACGGAGAGGAAAGCGGAAUUCCCGGUGUAACAGUGAAAUGUGUAGAUAUCGGGAGGAACACCAGUGGCGAAGGCGGCCUUCUGGACGUUUGCUGACACUGAAAUACGAGAGCUAGGGGAGCAAACAGGAUUAGAUACCCUGGUAGUCCUAGCCGUAAACGAUGUGCACUAGGUGUCUGGCCCUCUGGGCUAGGUGCCGCAGUUAACACUUAAGUGCACCAC
This 863-nucleotide ribosomal RNA is filed under the name uncultured bacterium. RNAcentral describes it as "bacterial SSU rRNA". It matches the Rfam family "Bacterial small subunit ribosomal RNA", at positions 29 to 872 of the family's 1533-position model. The record is from RNAcentral.